AGGGAGACAAACAACGAUUUUGAUGUCUGAGUUUAUUUAUUCUUAGGCCAAAAUCCUGUCACCUUAGGUCGAUCGGUACCUCAACUUUGAAGCCAAGAGAAUCCAGCGAUGGAUAUCUGCUUAGUGGAGAUUUUUAGUUCCUAAACUUUGUCUAGUUCACAACCCAUUAGGGAUGAGACUCCUGGGCCAUUAGCUCAGGUGGUUAGAGCGCACCCCUGAUAAGGGUGAGGUCCCUGGUUCAAGUCCAGGAUGGCCCAUUCGGUGUAGGGGGUUUAGCUCAGUUGGUAGAGCGCCUGCUUUGCAAGCAGGAUGUCAGGAGUUCGAGUCUCCUAACCUCCACUGACUACCAAAAUCCCCAUCUCCAAAACCUGGAGUAUGAACUCGUAUGGAUUGUGAUUUAGAUGUGUCCGCUAGAUGACCCUAGCUUCUUGUCAUUUUAAGGCAUGGAAAAAAUUCCAUGAAAUUUAAUUGAUAGGAUGCUGGGCUCGAUUCAAUGUAUUGAGAGAUCAAUGCAUUGUUUUGAUGUCUGGUCGAACCUUGACAACUGCAUAGUAAGCCUGGAAAGAAUAAAGCAUCUUUAUGGAUGCAUCAUUCUUGAGUGUUAAUUCACGAUGGGGUGGUGUUAAUUCUAAAGCAAGAGCCGAGACUCCAGCAUGUUCUUUCAAAUGUGUCGAGCAUUUGAGAGUUUGAUUUUAAUUUCUAUUUGUAGAAAUUAGAAGAAUCUGUUUCAACGACAGCAAUCGUGUUGGAGAUACAUU
RNAcentral lists this transfer RNA (758 nucleotides) under uncultured Synechococcus sp. Its description in RNAcentral is "16S-23S ribosomal RNA intergenic spacer". The stretch from base 267 to 339 matches the Rfam family "tRNA". Lineage: Bacteria; Bacillati; Cyanobacteriota; Cyanophyceae; Synechococcales; Synechococcaceae. The record is from RNAcentral.